Long non-coding RNA from Neofelis nebulosa (Clouded leopard), 2373 nucleotides. RefSeq lists it as uncharacterized. Lineage: Eukaryota; Metazoa; Chordata; Mammalia; Carnivora; Felidae. The record is from RefSeq and is a predicted model, not a curated record. The transcript is spliced from 3 exons.
UCAGAGGUUCUAUGAACAGAAACAAACCACACUUGGAGAAGAGCAUAAACCUCUCCUCAAUUUUCCUUCACAGUGCAGCAGGCUUGGAGGAAUGAGAGCAUCUCGCUAAAUGUUGUGAAAAUGUGGGACAUGCAAAGGUAUAUUCCAAAAGGCUUUCAAAAUGGUCCUUGGCCCCACCUGAAAUUCCCAAAGUCACCCUGUCCUCUUUCUCAGCUCAUUCUCAGGCUAAGAGAAGCCACACAUUCACCUGCCCUCACGCAAACAGUUCCGACAUCUCACUCCGGGAAGAGAAUAAAAAUGAAAAUUUAUUGUCUUUCACAUCAGUCACCUGAUUUUUAUUAGCCUCCCACGUAGUUUCCUACAAGCACCCAAUCCUGUUUUCACCCAAAGACGUGCUUAAUCUCCCUGUGAGCCCACGUUAUCAGUCCCUUUUUCUUUAAGAGAUGAAACGAUUGGCUACCAAAGUUUUCUAAAAUGCCUGAGGGUUCCAUCAGUAUAAAGCCAGGAGAUGGACUUGAUAAAUCACAUAGAACAAUUUGUCCUCAUCCACCCUUUGCCUCUAACUCCUUUGCCUUUUCAUAGGUGUUUCCCUUUGUCUACAAUGCCACUCAGUCUUUCUUCAAUGAGGUUGUGUCUGUUCUUCAUUCAAGACUCAAGUCUUAGGUCAUUUCUUCUGGGAAGACUUCCUUGACUCUUCUCCUUAUACAUGGAAGUCCCUCAAGUGGGAAGAACAGCUUCUGAGUCCCAAGAACAAUGGGAAAAUGUUUUUCAGACUGUUGUCAUCUCAUCAUUGGAUCUGGAAAAUGACACUUGUGUCUCAAUAGGCCAGAAGCUUUCUGUUUGCUCUGCGCACCUGAUAACAGCACACUCCCUGCAUUGCACGCUAUGGAGAAAUAACGACCGCGAAGGCACCAAAGGGCCUCAGCAAUUUGCAACGCUGACUGACGGAGCAGCCCUGGACAGCUGGGCUUCCUUGAAUGAGACUCCCUCCCUGGAAGUACACAGGUCUUCGUGACACCACUUGCUGGCUGCAAGUUACGGGGAACUUGUGAGGACAGGGUAGCCUUUAGUUGUUCAUGUAGUGCCAAAAGGGGUCCCACCACCUCUUUUGGACUCAGAGUUUCCUAUCAAAACACACUCCCUAGAAUAGCUGAUGCAAAUUCCAUAGUAAGGGCUUAAUUUAGUACAAACUUCAUUAUAGUCACAUCUUCCAUCUAGAUUUUAUUUCUUGACACCGUUUUCUUUGUGGGCAACUGUUAUCGGCAAAAGUCUUCACGGCCUGACCAGAUCCACGGGAAAAGAUAUCACGGGCACACACAUUUUUCCUAGUCCUCUUCCUUUUAAAUGAGAAAUUCUGUAUAACAUUUUCCAUAAGUGAAAGAGAGGACUACUUCCUAGCUUUUUUUGGUUCUUUUUUUUUUUUUGAACAGCAGACCUUCCUUUUGGAUUUACAUCAGCAUUUAGCUAACUUCCUGAACACUUCACCCAUUUCCUGAACUUAUUCUGAGGAAGGAAAAACAUCCUCCUUCAGAAAUAAAUGCAAAUAAUCGCAGAGAUUAUUUUUUAUUAAAUAAAUCGUGUAAAUGCAAUGGAAUUUCCUGCACGAUGUGCAUUUACCAUUGGAUAUUUCUACAAAACUGUUGUGAUCCUGUAGGAACCAUCUCACUGACAGGUACUCUGAGGAAUUAUAACCAUUGUGUAGCUAUUCAAGAGAUAAGUUCUGAACAGUUGGCAGUCUGUAUUCUUGUUAAAAAUAUUUUUUACUGAAAAAUCUGAACGCUAGGGGGAAUUGUUUGCUUUAGGUCCCCAAUUUGGAGGCUUUGUUUCUUUUAAAACAGGGUUCUCGUGACACCUCGUGGUGAAGAGGGGAAGAACAUCUUCAGGGCAGAAUAUCGACUGCAUAGAGUGGCCCAGAAGUUAGGAUUUUCUUGUUUCUGCAUUUCCUUGGGAGAAAACACACUCCUUCUCAGCCUGUGCUGCCCGGGAAUCCUGAGAAGUAGUGACAUGGAAACAGCAACAGUUAUGCAUUUCUGGAGAUGUUCUCUUCUCUUGAUUAGUAAUUCUUCAGAGGCAGCCCACUGCCUACGGCUAAACUGGUUCAGUUGGAAGAAUGAAUAAAAAAAUGUGAGACUUUGCAGAGGAAACACAUCAAUAUGUCAAGCUGGGGUCAGGCUUUUAAGUUUUUAAAUUUUUUAAAUGAAAAUAUUUUCUCUAUUUGUGAGCAGGCCUCCUCCCAUUUAGCCUUCUUUUAGUGGAGAAGAAUGGUACUUGUCUGGUGAAUAAAUCUCAGGGGCAUCUUAGAGAUGUAUUUUAGGCUGGCUUCUCAUCAUUCAUGAAUGCUUUACAGGGCCCUUCUUAUGUUCUCUAGUGUUU